GUGAAGAACGUAGUGAAAUGCGAUAAGUAAUGUGAAUUGCAGAAUUCAGUGAAUCAUCGAGUUUUUGAACGCAUAUUGCGCCCUCUGGUAUUCCGGGGGGCAUGCCUGUUCGAGCGUCAUUAAAUAACCCUCAAGCAUAGCUUGGUGUUGGGCUUUUUUACGUCCUUGACUGGGAUGGGCCUAAAAAUUAGUGGCGAUGGCUUUUUUACUUUCAAGCGUAGUAAAUCUCGUCUUGCUAAAGAGGAAAAAGAUUUUUUUUCUGCCAAAAAUUUUAACAUUUAAAGUUGACCUCGGAUCAGGUAGGAUUACCCGCUGAACUUAAGCAUAUCAUAAGCGGAGGA
Molecule: unclassified non-coding RNA, 341 nt
Filed under: soil metagenome
Description: partial contains 5.8S ribosomal RNA, internal transcribed spacer 2, and large subunit ribosomal RNA
Rfam family: 5.8S ribosomal RNA (bases 2-119)
Source: RNAcentral